Molecule: long non-coding RNA, 4070 nt
Filed under: Schizosaccharomyces pombe (fission yeast)
Lineage: Eukaryota; Fungi; Ascomycota; Schizosaccharomycetes; Schizosaccharomycetales; Schizosaccharomycetaceae
Source: RNAcentral
CAUUUUCAAACAGACAUCUGCAAUAGUACGAACAAUACCCCAACCAUUAGACAAACUUAAGUUCAUUUGGGAAGCCAAAUCAGCAGGCUUAUAAGCUACAACACCCAAAAUGCCGUGGUGCUGAGCGUCACGGGCAUUUGAACGACUGACAAAACCAACCUUCAUGCUAUCAACACCAGCCAAUAAAGCUUCGACAGUCCAACGGGCAAGCUUGCAACUAUUGUUCUUCAUUUCAGUGGCAAACACAGCACCUCUUUGACUUUCGAGCUUGGAACGCCAAUCCACAGAACCAGUAACAUUUGUAAAUUUGGGAUCGUACUCAUUAAGAGCCUUGAUAGAAAUGUAUUGAACAUCGUUCGCAGGAUUUUUAACAUAACCGUCAACUUCGGUACGAACCAUUAGCUUAACAGGCUUUUCGUCUGUCUCGAGAGAAAGAUCAACAUCCCGAUAGAUAUAACCGUGAGCAGCCAAUGGCUCACUUUCUUCCUUAGAAUUAUAGAAGGGAUUGGGAUGAGGUAAUUUAUAUUUCUCUUCUUCGGUUUCACGUAAAGCUUGGACGCAGAAGUUUUGGUUAAUGUACGUAGCUUCGACAGAAAGGGCUCCAGGAGAAUUAACACCUUCGCGGUUGUCAGCGUCCAUGGGAGAAUCGUAUGCGUUUUCAUUGACAGUGAGAUAAUCAAAAGGUCCGCCUUCACGUUUGUCAAAGAAUAGCUUUCCACUUUGGUGAGUAAUUACAAUAUCCCAGGGAUACACUGAGCGAGUUGAACACAUCAAUAAAGACAAAAUGGAAUCCGUAAUGAAAAUGUUAGCAUCACUAUUAAGAGCGAGUUUUUGGAUAACGGGGUCUUCAGUAGUGGUAGGGUUGUAAUGAACACGGUCCAAGGCUUGUAAUGGUUUUUCUGAUUUAACAUGAAUCUUGUCAAAAGAUUUGUCAUAAGGAUAAAUAUAACCAUAUGAAUCCACAGUAACAGGAGCAGCAGCAGCUAAAUUGAGCUUAGAUAAAUGGCUGAACUCAACCUCGUCAAGAAGCUGCCAGUCGUCACCAACAGUAACACUGGCGUUGCGAAGACGUUGAUGUUUAUCAUAAUCCUUCCAACCAAACCGACGACCUCUUGCUCCUCCAGCGCCUGAGGAUCUAGAAACCACUGUAUCACCUGCACCUCUUCCACCAGAAGAACCGUAGCGACCGCCACGACCACCUCGUUGAACGUUUUGUCCUCUACCGCGAACCUUCAAUAAAGUGCCGCCGUUGCGAGCGGAAGUGCGUGUACGAUUGACAGAACCACGAUCGAUCACCGAGAAACUGGAUUCGUCCUCCGAAUGCUGAUAACCAAAAAUGGACGACGCGCCAUAACCAUAAGUUUGAUAUUGGUCACGGAAACGACCAGCAAAUGCUCCUUGACGUCCACGUUGUUCACGUCCAUCUUUAGGUUGAUCAACAGACCAAUCUGCAAUUUUUCCAAGACGGUCACCUUUACUAAAAGGAGCAUAAGGAAUAUCACCUCCUAUCUGUUCCGUUUCAGGAGGUCCCCAUGCUGAUUUUACGGGUGCUAACUCAGGCAAUUUAAAUCCAGUUGCCAUUUGGGAGUGGUGAAGUUUUCUUCGAAGUGGACGCCAGUAUAGUGUGCAAACGAACUGGGAGACGCUAAAACACCAAAGCCAACAAUGGUAAUAUUUGAAGUUCUAAAGCUUUAUUUGUAAUACAAAAGUACUUAAAUGUAAUAUAUAUACUUUUUGGUUCGUGAAAAAGUUAAAUGUUAUACAUUUCCUUUUGCAAUCAAGGUGCUAUAUUUGUAGAAAAACUACAUCUAUUAACAAUUAGUAUAUGUUACUGUAUUUAUCAAACUACUUCUUUAUUUGUGAACCCACAUGCCUAUUCAGAAGACGAUAUGUGGAAAUCUCAACCACUCACUACAUUAUAAAACUAUAGUAGGUAGAAUUACUUUAUCAUACUAGCAGGUUAUAUCAGCACUAAAUGUUAUUAAAUUAAAAAAUGGGAGAAAUUGAUAUUGAAAUAAAAGAUAUGUUAUGCUAUAAUUUAAAACUGAUUACGACAUCAGACUUUGCCUUUAUAGUCAUUGUCUCAAGGCUUAAAUGUUUCUGACAAAAGCAUGUUUUAGAAAAUUUUAAUUUCGUCAACGCUGUCUUUUGAAGAAAGAAAAAAAUGAACGCCAAGGUUCUCAGACAUUCUCUCUUUUCUGUCAUCACAUGUCGCAUAAAAAAUAUACACAUCUAAUCCUAUUAAAACAAUUGUUUGCGAAGAAAUUAAUGUAUAAAAACGGAAAGCACCAAAUAUUAAGCAGUGUUAAAUGACCGCAAAAGCUGCUAAGUAGCAAAGGAGAGAGUUUAGUGCAUCACAUGAUAAAGGAUCGCAUUGACAGCCUAGCACACGCAAGGAAAAAGAAUGAUAAAGUAUGAAUUUAAAAUAUUAAUAAUAAUGAUGGAAAUAUGUGAGGUCUCUAUUAAAGAAACGGAACUAACUUCCUCCAACCCCGUUUUCUUUGCGCUAAUCCCUUAUAAUGAUUUAUUUCAUCUAGGCAGUCCCUUCCAUAAUUACAGCCUGCCAAGUUUACCAAGAAGUCUCCUUCUUUUUGGUUAUAAAAGAAACGAGGAUUUUCACCUUCACCAGCACAAGCACCUGGAGGAUAUGAAUUGAAAAGGCGAAGAGGAACGAAUCCCAUGCCGCUUCGAAGCCAAGCAUUAUUCUCGUAGAAGUACUCAAUUGCAUUUUGCUCAUCGUGAGGCCAAUCCAUGUGCUUUUGCCCAUAGACUACUGGAUCCCAAAGGAAGUCCAUCAAUCUGCUAGUCCAAUCACUUCGACGAACCAGAAAAGAACCCAAACUGAAACCGUUGCAAUCUUGCCCUAAAAUAAAGUUGAUAUCUUCACUAUAGUCAACAAAUGGAAUUUCGUGGAAAUUUUUUGGAUUGAACUCCAUGCUAUCAGUAAUAUUCCUGGUCGCAAUAUGGUCAAGUCUGUUAAUAAUAAGCUUUUCAAGAGAAUAUUGAGGUUCCAUGAUGAAUGUUGUUAAAUCGACCCACCAAAACCAUUCAGCAUGAGGGUAUUUCUUCAUGGCUUCCAUGAUAUAAUCUGCUUUUUCCCAAGAUUCACGCCAUUCAUGAGCAUAUCGUCUCUUUAAGCCUGUGCUCUUCACAAAGAAAUGAUAUCCGUGCCUUUCAGCGUAUUUCUUCUUGUUCUCCGUUGAAAUCUUCUCCAGCUCCCAUUGUCUGGGACUUUUUACAUCUAAAACGCCACCUCCGAUGUUAUUGACAAAUAUCAUAACAACAUUACUCUCUUUGGGACGCGUCAAGAGUGUAUGCUUUAAAAAGUAGCCUGAGCAGAGCAACAGUACCACAAAGACGAAUAACCUAUGUAGAUGCGUCUUGGUAAAAUACUUCCUUCUAGUAUCACCUUCUUUGGAAUCAAGUACAUUGGAAGUGCCUGGCUUAGGGUAAGGAAAGGAUUUAAACUUAGCUAAUGCUUCUGACUUCUUUUUGGGGUUCCACAUUUUUUAAUAUAAUAUAAGACUCGACGUUUACGUUAAUUCUUCUUAUUAACCUUUAAAUUAUAUAUUUUCGAAUGAUAAUAUGACUACGGCAAUGCCGUUUGAGGUUUCACACAGAACUAGGCUGUUUGGCAAAGGCGAAAGUCGUGAGCAAGUAACGUCCCAGUGUAUCAAAGCUGGCAUAGCCUUGUCGUCGAGUAAAUAGCCAAAGUACGCGAUAACGUCGGUAAAGUUAAGUAGAUUCUGAUUGCAUAAUUUUAUUUAUUUGUUUACUCAAAAAGUUUUAGCACUUUUAUUCUCGCGUUCAUCUACUCAGAUAUGCUAAAUAAAUUAGCGAUAGAAAUUUUCCAUAAAAUAUGUCAGUUGCAAAGACUCUGACAGAUUUCUCAUGGUUUGACGAUGAAGGUAUUUAGUUUAGUAAACAAAUAAUUAUCAGCUACCAACUAAUUUAACAAUUCUGUUUUAGGAAAAGUGUAAACAACCAUGAGAAGGAAACUUGGCAGCAACUCGAAUUAAGGAUUCGGCAUGUAAAAAAUUAGAUAUUGUUAAACAAUCAUUCUAAUGUAA